Small nuclear RNA from Gorilla gorilla gorilla (western lowland gorilla), 164 nucleotides. Its record names the gene U1. It matches the Rfam family "U1 spliceosomal RNA". Rfam says of the family: U1 is a small nuclear RNA (snRNA) component of the spliceosome (involved in pre-mRNA splicing). Its 5' end forms complementary base pairs with the 5' splice junction, thus defining the 5' donor site of an intron. The record is from Ensembl. Lineage: Eukaryota; Metazoa; Chordata; Mammalia; Primates; Hominidae.
UGACUUACCUGGCAGGGGAGAUGCCAUGAUCACGUAGGUGGUUUUCCCAGGGUGAGGCGCAUCCAUUGCACUCCAGGUGUGCUAACCCUUGCAAUUUCCCUCAACAUGGGAAACUCAACUGCGUUGUUUGUGGCAGUGGGGGACUGCAUUUGCGCUUUCUCCUG